This 404-nucleotide long non-coding RNA is filed under the name Phaseolus vulgaris (common bean). RNAcentral's name for it is "long non-coding RNA (PVUL_LNC004200)". The record is from RNAcentral. Lineage: Eukaryota; Viridiplantae; Streptophyta; Magnoliopsida; Fabales; Fabaceae.
UCUUUCUCAGUAAGUACAAUUAUUUUUCGUUUCUGCGAUUCAGCAGCAUUUGCAACUACAUGUCCUAAAUUGCUUUUGUUGCUGUUGAAUUGAGGAAAACUGAGUUUAGAAUCAUCAUUUCUUUUCCCGUGCAACCAUCGUUCUGUUGGAUUUGUAUACUUCAAACAUACACUCCGACAAAUGCAUUCAGAUAGGGUUUAGGUUCCUCCAGAGUUGCUUCAUUGAAUUCCUCUUAAUUUCAAUCCCCUGAAUGUGAUGUGCGUGCUACUACCAUACCCUAUUUAUAUUUCGCGGCAUUAUUAUUGUAUCACCUAUUGGAAUACAAAUGCACUAAUCUAACUUGAAAAGAAGAAAAAUGUAAUUAAGCUUUGAAAUAUAAUUUAUAAUCAAUACUUGGAAUUCAU